This 329-nucleotide small RNA is filed under the name Arabidopsis thaliana (thale cress). Its description in RNAcentral is "ATSL231230". The record is from RNAcentral. Lineage: Eukaryota; Viridiplantae; Streptophyta; Magnoliopsida; Brassicales; Brassicaceae.
GUUAUUUUUGAAUUUUGAUCAUGCAAUAAAAUCAGAUUAAACCAAAGUGAAACCAAAAAGUGUUAGGACUGGAAUGGUUGCGGCUGUUAGGGCGGACAAAUCCGUAUGCGCUUUAGACCAACUUUUGUUUACCAUUCAUAAACUAUACUCAGCAAUAAUGCAUAUUGAGAAAAAUAGAACAAAUUCGCUCUGGAAUCAUUGCAGACCGCAUUUAUGUAGAGAAUAAGUUGCCCCCUGCGGUGAGAGCUCACCUCUUAUGCCACUAUUGGAAAAGAAAUAAUCACUCGUGCCAUUCUUAUGUUUAGAAUAAUAUUAUUGAUUUUUACUAA